GAUGAACGCUGGCGGCGUGCUUAACACAUGCAAGUCGAACGGAAAGGCUCCUGCUUGCAGGGGUACUCGAGUGGCGAACGGAUGAGUAACACGUGGGUGAUCUGCCCUGCACUUCGGGAUAAGCCUGGGAAACUGGGUCUAAUACCGGAUAGGACGAUGGUUUGGAUGCCAUUGUGGAAAGUUUUUCGGUGUGGGAUGAGCUCGCGGCCUAUCAGCUUGUUGGUGGGGUAAUGGCCUACCAAGGCGUCGACGGGUAGCCGGCCUGAGAGGGUGUACGGCCACAUUGGGACUGAGAUACGGCCCAGACUCCUACGGGAGGCAGCAGUGGGGAAUAUUGCACAAUGGGCGCAAGCCUGAUGCAGCGACGCCGCGUGGGGGAUGACGGCCUUCGGGUUGCAAACUCCUUUCGCUAGGGACGAAGCGCAAGUGACGGUACCUGGAGAAGAAGCACCGGCUAACUACGUG
RNAcentral lists this ribosomal RNA (465 nucleotides) under uncultured bacterium. RNAcentral's name for it is "partial 16S ribosomal RNA". It matches the Rfam family "Bacterial small subunit ribosomal RNA", at positions 28 to 507 of the family's 1533-position model. The record is from RNAcentral.